GAUAUGUGACAUAUAUUCCAUAUUUUUAGACAUGAGGACUUGGUACUUGAGACAGAUCUUUCGCUUGCUUGCCAUUGUGCUCAUUCGCACAUGCUUGUGAGGGUCGCUCCCUACAAGCCGGCACUCCGGAGAUAGCCAUCGCGACAUAUGCUCGCUCGUGCGGGAUUGGGCACAAAAAUGGAAUGCCGUGGGGAAGGCUCAUUCCUAGAGUGGGGAUGUUGACUACCACGGGGCCAUUAGGCACGGCGCAGGCCAGACAGCCUACGGGUGGGUCUUACAUGAUUAGAACUUAGUGACAGAACAUGCCAUUUGGACUUUGACUAGAAUAGUAAACAAUGACAUUUUACUAUCUACAUUGUGGACACUCUGCUGAUUGCGUAUACAUGCUUAUACAUGCUAGUCAUACUCAUGUACAUACUUGUUGUAGUUGUUUUAUUAUUUAUGCAAUUCAUGCUAAGUAGAGAUAUCAUGAUAGAGUAGUACUCAUGGUUACAUACUUGUUCUUUAUUUAGCUUUUGUGUAUACUCGUACUUACCCUCUUUUGUUCAGUUUUGGGCCUAGUGGCGCAUUUCACUGAAGUCAAUAAUUGCCCACUGGAAACUAUUUUUAAUAAUUCUCACGC
RNAcentral lists this long non-coding RNA (622 nucleotides) under Ananas comosus (pineapple). RNAcentral's name for it is "long non-coding RNA (ACOM_LNC021232)". Lineage: Eukaryota; Viridiplantae; Streptophyta; Magnoliopsida; Poales; Bromeliaceae. The record is from RNAcentral.